GUGACUGCGUACCUUUUGUAUAAUGGGUCAGCGACUUAUAUUCUGUAGCAAGGUUAACCGUAUAGGGGAGCCGUAGGGAAACCGAGUCUUAACUGGGCGUUAAGUUGCAGGGUAUAGACCCGAAACCCGGUGAUCUAGCCAUGGGCAGGUUGAAGGUUGGGUAACACUAACUGGAGGACCGAACCGACUAAUGUUGAAAAAUUAGCGGAUGACCUGUGGCUGGGGGUGAAAGGCCAAUCAAACCGGGAGAUAGCUGGUUCUCCCCGAAAGCUAUUUAGGUAGCGCCUCGUGAAUUCAUCUCCGGGGGUAGAGCACUGUUUCGGCUAGGGGGCCAUCCCGGCUUACCAACCCGAUGCAAACUGCGAAUACCGGAGAAUGUUAUCACGGGAGACACACGGCGGGUGCUAACGUCCGUCGUGAAGAGGGAAACAACCCAGACCGCCAGCUAAGGUCCCAAAGUCAUGGUUAAGUGGGAAACGAUGUGGGAAGGCCCAGACAGCCAGGAUGUUGGCUUAGAAGCAGCCAUCAUUUAAAGAAAGCGUAAUAGCUCACUGGUCGAGUCGGCCUGCGCGGAAGAUGUAACGGGGCUAAACCAUGCACCGAAGCUGCGGCAGCGACACUGUGUGUUGUUGGGUAGGGGAGCGUUCUGUAAGCCUGUGAAGGUGGCCUGUGAGGGUUGCUGGAGGUAUCAGAAGUGCGAAUGCUGACAUAAGUAACGAUAAAGCGGGUGAAAAGCCCGCUCGCCGGAAGACCAAGGGUUCCUGUCCAACGUUAAUCGGGGCAGGGUGAGUCGACCCCUAAGGCGAGGCCGAAAGGCGUAGUCGAUGGGAAACGGGUUAAUAUUCCCGUACUUGGUGUUACUGCGAAGGGGGGACGGAGAAGGCUAUGUUGGCCGGGCGACGGUUGUCCCGGUUUAAGCGUGUAGG
This 926-nucleotide ribosomal RNA is filed under the name Salmonella enterica subsp. enterica serovar Lubbock. RNAcentral's name for it is "bacterial LSU rRNA". It matches the Rfam family "Bacterial large subunit ribosomal RNA", at positions 593 to 1524 of the family's 2925-position model. Lineage: Bacteria; Pseudomonadati; Pseudomonadota; Gammaproteobacteria; Enterobacterales; Enterobacteriaceae. The record is from RNAcentral.